UACGGAGGGAGCUAGCGUUGUUCGGAUAUACUGGGCGUAAAGCGCACGUAGGCGGCGCAGCAAGUCAGGGGUGAAAUCCCGGAGCUCAACUCCGGAACUGCCUUUGAAACUGCAGUGCUAGAAUCCUGGAGAGGCGAGUGGAAUUCCGAGUGUAGAGGUGAAAUUCGUAGAUAUUCGGAAGAACACCAGUGGUGAAGGCGACUCGCUGGACAGGUAUUGACGCUGAGGUGCGAAAGCGUGGGGAGCAAACAGG
Molecule: ribosomal RNA, 253 nt
Filed under: uncultured bacterium
Lineage: Bacteria
Description: partial 16S ribosomal RNA
Rfam family: Bacterial small subunit ribosomal RNA
Source: RNAcentral